Molecule: long non-coding RNA, 1182 nt
Organism: Armigeres subalbatus
Lineage: Eukaryota; Metazoa; Arthropoda; Insecta; Diptera; Culicidae
Exons: 2
Source: RefSeq, a predicted model, not a curated record
UCGUCAACAUCUUCAAUCCAUCUGUUCCGUGGGUUCCGUGCUUCCUUGCGGGUUCCCGUGAACUCGGUAAACUCUGUUCGUUUUCGUCGCGAUGUCGCUUUUGUCGUGAUUGUAAUUGUAAUGUUAUUGAGUGAAUUGUGAAUUAUCUCGUUAUUGAGAGAAUUGUGAAUUAUCUCGAGAGAAAAUUUCUAGUCGGUCAAGCACAUUGAACCCCGAAAUCGUGAUAUGUGCUAUAGCUAAGAGUCGUAUUUGUCUGUCAAAUUUGAGUCUUACUCCGGCUUUUACUUCGGAUGGUUCCCUGAUUAGUAAAUUAACACUGGAAGCAGUGAUGAAAUAUGAGGCUAUCCAGUCGUACAGUGGAAUAAGUAAGAUGGUGGUGGAUCCGACGGUGAAUGAAAUUGCUGCCAGCAUCCGGUUUUUCACUAAGAACGACGGCAUGGAGGACGAUAGAAUAACGAUGUUCCAACCAGGGUACAUUACAAACGUUCGCAGCAACCCGAACUUCAAGAAGUUGCUGAAUAAUUUCCGAGCAGAAUCGCAGAUUUAGAAGGUUAUGUUACCGGCCGCGCUGAUCAAGUUGAUUAAAGAAACAGGAGCAUCACAAAGCAAUACGGAAUACUUUCAGCCCUUGAUGGAAACGAUUGAUACAACGAAGGAUCGAUAACGAUAACAUUGCGGUGGUCUCGCUGUUGUCGAUGGGAAUUAUGUACCUACAGAGGCAGUUCUGCGGAAGAAGUUUUUAAAAAUGAGCAAUCACUGCUGAAUUGGCUGGAAUAUAUCAGAAUAUGGUUCGAAGCAUCGUUGAAUGUUUGUCGGUAUGGUUGGGAACACAGGAAUAUUCCCAUUGGAGGCUGUCACCAAUGGAAGUUUUUAUGCGAUUUUGAAGUUUGCAAAGACGCCAAACCGAAGAUCAAAAGAGCAGCCCAACACGUUGUGGCAGUCAUUCACGGAAACAUGUUAAUGCUACCACCAAAGAUCGGCAUCAAAAGAAGGCGAGCAGGAUGAUAAACUGGACGACAGUGAGCCUCCGCAACCCUUGAUGAAGUGUCAUUCAGUUUUUGUGGUGGUCGGCCACGUUCUGUAUCGGACAGCUCGGCCAAGAAUAUGUUGGAAGCAAUCAAACACAGGGUUUUCGACGUAGGAUACGAUACGGUUAUAGUGGUACAUUUUAAAAUUUGAAAA